Molecule: ribosomal RNA, 253 nt
Filed under: uncultured bacterium
Lineage: Bacteria
Description: partial 16S ribosomal RNA
Rfam family: Bacterial small subunit ribosomal RNA
Source: RNAcentral
UACGUAGGGAGCAAGCGUUAUCCGGAUUUACUGGGUGUAAAGGGCGUGUAGGCGGGCCUGUAAGUUGGGAGUGAAAUCCGGGGGCUUAACCCCCGAACUGCUUUCAAAACUGCGGGUCUUGAGUGAUGGAGAGGCAGGCGGAAUUCCCAGUGUAGCGGUGAAAUGCGUAGAUAUUGGGAGGAACACCAGUGGCGAAGGCGGCCUGCUGGACAUUAACUGACGCUGAGGCGCGAAAGCGUGGGGAGCAAACGGG